GACGAGGGGUCCUAGCGUUGUUCGGAAUCACUGGGCGUAAAGCGUAUGUAGGCGGGCUUUUAAGUCAGGUGUGAAAUCCCACGGCUCAACCGUGGAAUUGCAUUUGAAACUGGAAGUCUUGAGUGUGGGAGAGAUUGGUAGAAUACCUGGUGUAGUGGUGAAAUACGUAGAUAUCAGGUGGAAUACCGGUGGCGAAGGCGCAUGCCAACAGUCGACGCUGAGAUACGAAAGCGUGGGGAUCAAACAGG
This 248-nucleotide ribosomal RNA is filed under the name uncultured bacterium. RNAcentral's name for it is "partial 16S ribosomal RNA". It matches the Rfam family "Bacterial small subunit ribosomal RNA", at positions 524 to 776 of the family's 1533-position model. The record is from RNAcentral.